RNAcentral lists this long non-coding RNA (5061 nucleotides) under Homo sapiens (human). Its description in RNAcentral is "novel transcript, antisense to SNX20". The record is from RNAcentral. Lineage: Eukaryota; Metazoa; Chordata; Mammalia; Primates; Hominidae.
ACAUUACUCACAGUCUCUAUAGCCUUGUGUGUCUACUGGUGAAUUAAAAGGUCACUAGUGGUGUCCUCUGGGAGUCCUCUUCUCACUCCCCCAGUUCAGUAGGCAGAUGGGUGGGGAGUCCCCCACGCCAUCUGGGUCCUGAAAAGGUGGGAGAUGGGAUCUGGGAGGAGCAGGUUAUUCAAUCUCUCCCCCUGGAAAGCGACGUGGCGCGGGCCUUACUGGGGAAGGGCCUCUCCCCCCAGACCGAGAGAGGCGCAGUUAGGCCCGUUCUCGGAAGCCAUGGCCGAUCCUGCUCCUGGGGGCGCUGAUACUGGCUAUUUGCAGCGCCCUCUCUUGUGAAACCCUGCGGAUUCCGCUUGCGGGAAGUGGAGGGCGGUGGCCUCCGCCUUUUGGGGCUUCUGGGCUGAGGGAAGAGGAUGGAGGGGCAGAAAGGGAGUGAGGUCCCAAACCCCAAGUGGAGGUCGCCCGGGGACCCCCCAUCAAAACACUUGCUGGGGAGAGGUUAUAGAGGCAGCAAAGCUCUUUCCAGCAUGAUUUCAAAUCCCGUCUAAGGGCUUUCAGAAGCCUGGAGAAAGUUUCGGUUUCCCAGCUGUUUCAGCUUUUUCCGCCCGCACCGCGGCGAUGCGUUCGGAGCCGCCGAGGCGGCAGCGCCAUCUGCUGUCUACUUUUUAAAUUGCAGGAUCAGAUCCUCUCGGUCUCUCCAGACCUGCCCCGUGGAAAGGGAAUAAGAUUAAACCAGUAAAAAUAGCUUAGAUCACCUGAGGUCAGGAAUUCGAGACCAGCCUGGCCAACAUGGCGAAACCCCGUCUCUACUAAAAAAAGUACAAAAAUUAGCCGGGCGUGGUGGCGGGCGCCUGUAAUCCCAGCUACUCAGGAGGCUGAGACAGGAGAAUCGCUUGAACCCAGGAGGCGGAGUUUGCAGUGAGCCUAUAUCACGCCACUGCACUCCAGGCUGGGAGACAAGAACGAGACUCUGUCUCAAAAAGAAAAAAAUAGUUUAAAGGCCAGGAGCGGUGGCUCAUAGCUGUAAUCCCAUCACUUUGGGAGGCCGAGGUGAGUGGAUCACAAUGUCAGGAGUUCGAGACCAGCCUGGCCAACAUGGUAAAACCCCUGUCUCUACUAAAAAUACAAAAAUUAGCCAGGCGUGGUGGCGGGCGCCUGUAAUCUCAGCUGCUUGGGAGGCUGAGGCAGGAGAAUCAGUUGAACCCAGGAGGCAGAAGUUGCAGUGAGCCAAGAUCGUGCCACCGCACUCCAGCCUGGCCACAGAGCAAGACUCCAUCUAAAAAAAAAAAAAUUUAAAAUGCCGACAGCCACUGUUAUGCAAAGUUCAAGGGCCUCUCUCACACUUAGCUGGGGGAGGAGUGAAUACAGCCUUUCUGAAGAAAGAAAAAUUAAGUAAUAGCAAAAUCAUUAAGUGUUUAUGAUUCAUAAAUACAGUUUUUGUCAACUAAAAAAAUAAAAUAUGUAGAAGUCAAAAAAGUGUCUAUGAUUCAGAAAUGCCACCGUUAGAAGUUGCCAUAAGAGUGCACACAAAAAGGACAUAUGGGUCAAAGUGUUUGCAGCAGUGUUGUCCCAAAUAAGGACAUUUUGCAACAUUGUGGGGUGGUUAAAAUAACUAUAGAAUAUGCAUUAGAAUACAAUGAAACCAUUAAACAUAAUGUGGAAGAAUAUUGUAUAUUAUAGGGAAAUGCUCAUAAUAUAUAGUGACAAUUUAAAAAGCAGAUUACAAAACAAUAUGCCAAGACAUGAUUUCUGCCCAAGUCUGCCCUGAUGGGUGAGCUAACCAAGGUUGCUGCACUGUGAGGGCAUAGGGGCUGCCCCUCAGCCCCCACCCCAGCCACUGGGCUCCUCAGGAAAGGACACGUGAGUGUUUACUGCACAUCCUACAGAUGAGGAGCUCACAAGGACCCUGGAUGGGGGAGUCCUCUGAGGUUGCUGGAGCUGCUGCAGCCAUCUUGUCACUGCCAGGGGAGAGCUCUCUCUGAGAGCGAAGGCACAGUGGAGGAAAGCAGAACUAAGAAGAGACAGAGAAAGCGAAAGUGGGAGAGAGAGAGAGAUAUGAGGUGACAAGUGUGGGUCCUUGGAUCCUGCUUGGUGUAAAGCUAGCCUGCUCCUGGACUUUACAGAUAAUAAAUUCCUUCCUCAUCAGAUUAACCUGGGUUUUUGUGGCUUGUAACCAAAAGGGUCUGCACGGCCCACACACAGGCUCCCAGCUCAUUUCCUUUGCAAUGAGUGGUAACUGGAGGCGGGCGGUGCAUGGACCUGCCUUGCAAGGCUUCUCUGUUAGUGGUGCCUGGAGCCCACUCUCUCAGCUGGCACAGCCAGUGUGACACAUCAGUCCGGGUGUGUCCUGGACCUACCCCCUUUCUGGGUGCAAACCAGAACUGAGGAUGCCGAGGGUGGUGGGGGGGUAGUUUCCUGCCUCAGGGCUGUGCUCCUGCUACCUCUUUGCCUAAAAUUCUCCCCUCUCUGUGCUCCCAGGGCCAGCUCCUUUGUAUGCUCUGUGAUUCUUUGAACAGCGCCCCCUCUGAGAAGCCUUCCCUGACCACCUGGCUGAGGACAUCAUUCUGUCCCAGCUUCCAUUUGCUUUGGGAGUGGCCUCCUGACACUUCACUUCCGUGAGGCAGGGACCAGUUCUGUCCUGGUCACUGCUGUAUCCCCAGCUCUAGAUAAGGCCUGAGACAUCGUAGGAGUGCCAGGGAUCUUUGGUUACUGAGAAAACGAGCAGCUAGAUCAAGGUUCCCAACACCAACACGCUGGGGACAUGUUGGGAGUCAACUUAGCCCUACCAGCAGGUGGAACUAGUUUUGCUGCUCCAAAACAGAGUUCUAGCUAUGGGGACAGCCACUAGAGAGCAGAGCUAAGUCCAUGCUAUGCUGAGGGGCCACAGUCUGCCCUGAACUGUGCCUCCCAGCCUGGAGCUAGUGAGGGGGCCGAGCCUGGGAGCUGACAGAUGAGGGCUCGGCGUGGGGACUUUUGGAGGGGAGGGCAUUUUCUUGAUCUUACCAUGGGGGCAACAGCUAGAUGGGUAGGGGGGGACCCACUCAAGGACAUACUGCGGCUUCAGGCUUCGACCAGCCCAGAACGCUCGCUCCAUCUGAGGGUCUUGAUAUCAGGGUGUGGCGUCAGGAGCCGGAGCCUACGGGUUGAAAGCCAAGAGUGGGCAAUCAAAGCUGAAACCAGGCCCACGACUUAGGAGCUGGAGAGCACACAGGGCUGAACACUCGAGUUGGUGACCAGGAAACCAGGGAGCAAAGUCUCCAGGGUGCUUGGGCAAGACCCCAGAUGGUCUGCAGCAACGCACGGGCAACACGGGAUGAUCAGCGCUACGUGGUGAGAAACUUACCUCCUUUUGCAGGACAACAUUUUCCAGUCCUUCUGAGUAAAUCAAAGAGAAGUCUCAGCUUGGUGAUUGCAGGUCUCUAAUGCUUAUUUCUCUGUCUCUGUCUCUCUCUCUUUUAACAAAAGUCUACCAGCGGCCUCAGGCUCAGGGCCUGUCUCAGGUAAAAGCGGGUUAGGGUGUAAUAACAGUGAUCGGUUUCAUUGUGUUUAUUUUUGUAGCUACUUUCUAAUUAUAGCAAGUGAUUCUGAGUUUCCAUUUAGGAUAGUAAUAGGAAGUUUCUUUUUCAAGUAAAUGUGCAUAAGUAAAAGGAGACUGCUCAAAGGAAAACAGCUGGUGAUUGAUAGAACAGGCUGUGGCAUUGUUGGGCCCCAGAGGGAAGGGCUGUGUGAGCAUGCAGGAAAUUCUGGGAAGGCAGCUAAAUGCAGUUGCUGCAUGGGGGCCAGGAAGCAUUUGGAGACGUGGCUGGGCACAGCUUGGCUUUUGAGCCCAAGAGAGGCCUGCUGGGGAUGUGUUGGGAGCCAACCUACCCCUACCAGCAGGUGGAACUGGUUUUGCCACUCCAAAACAGAGUUCCAGCUAUGGGGACAGCCACUAGAGAGCAGAGCUAAGGGCAUUCUAGGCCAAGGGGUCACAGUCCACCCUGAACUGUGCCUCCCAGCCUGAAGCCAGAAAGCUCAGGGAGGCUAGCGGCCCUGCCCAGGCCUCAGCACUGACCCUGCACCCCUAGGCCCAGCUGGAUGACCCCUAAGAGCUUCCUGGAAUUUGGAUGCAGGGUUAUUCUGUGUGUGCUGCCUCUCAGAGCAUGUCACUUUGACGUGGACAUCUCGGGUCUGGUUCUGGUGCUGUCCCUGUCUCGCCACGUGACCCUGGAUAAGUCAUCUCUCCAGGCCUUGAUUUCCCCAUCUGUAAACAGAGGAACCCAAGGAACGAGUGGGCUCUAACUGCUGCAGCAUAUGGGAGAUGCCAGGAGGAGCUGGCUGUGGCAGGCCAUCCCAGUCCAUCAGACAACUUGUAGUGGAUGAAGAUGCAGUGUCCAUGGCCAGAAGAAACUCCCGUGGAUGCUCAGGCCAAGGCUGCCAGAAGCACGAGGAGGGGCAGCAUUGAGUGUCAUCGGGAAAAGGCAAAGUGAUGGUCCUGAAGCUGCCCCAUGUGGCCAGUCCCUUUUUGGGAAGCCUGAAUAAAUCCAUUUCCUGUGCACUGUGUGGGAAGCCAACCCCUCUUCAGAGCACCUCUGAACUCAACAGGAUCCUACACUUCUUAUAGGCCUGGCUUGAUGCUGACAUCCUUCAGCCCCAGGGAAGACCUAAAGAUCUCCAGGUCUUGAGGCACCUGGAACACCUCCACCUGAGACCACUUUAACAUGAUUUCUCUGCUUGAGGGAUUUUGGACCAUGCUGUGUGUAUUCAGCCCUAAAACAUGGGCGAGUGCCCGCUUGCAGUUCAAAUUCUCAGAGGAAGUUCCCUGUACUCCACCCAGUGCCAAGUUUAGUUUGUGCAAAUUUCCUUAAUGUCCCCUCCUGUACAACAGGCUUAUUUGGUGUUAACCCUCAUAUCGGGGGUCUAACUCUUUGCUUUUCCAGCUUUUGUGCUGGAAUAUCCCAUUAAACUGUCCAUGUUGGGUAUUUUUUCUUUGUUAGUAAACAUUUGUUGCAUAUUGUUGAUAGCAUUUUAGAUUUGAAGAAAUAACUGACAAAAUCAAUAUCAUCUGUUUCAUCAUUA